Molecule: non-coding RNA, 73 nt
Organism: Pristionchus pacificus
Lineage: Eukaryota; Metazoa; Nematoda; Chromadorea; Rhabditida; Neodiplogasteridae
Source: Rfam
UCCCUGAUGGUCUAGUGGUGAAGGAGUCCGUCUUGGAGACGGAGGGUAGUGGGUUCGAGUCCCACUCCGUGCA